This is a long non-coding RNA of Coffea eugenioides, 982 nucleotides long. RefSeq lists it as uncharacterized. The record is from RefSeq and is a predicted model, not a curated record. The transcript is spliced from 3 exons. Lineage: Eukaryota; Viridiplantae; Streptophyta; Magnoliopsida; Gentianales; Rubiaceae.
AAUCACGGCCUAAAGGCAUCCUUCCACAUCGGCAAAUGCCCAUUCUCAACGAUUGAAGACCAUCGACUGAAGACUCAUCGGCAAACCAAUCGUUCUUCGCCGGCAGCGCCUCCAGCUCCGGCAAAGACCCACUUCCAGAGGUUGGAUCAUAUCGCAAUUCAUUGUCCUGGGUUGAGGAUUCAAUGUGGCUAGUCAGAUGCAGAAGCACCUUCAAGCAUUAGGCCCCAAUUUACUAAGAACUGGACCUCCGUAAGCCAGAAUGUUAAACUAGGUGGGGUUAUGGGAUCUUUGGAAUCCACUCCAUUGCAACUUUUGGAUGUCAGAGGGGAUGAUGGUAUUGCUGAGUUAAUCAAACUCUAUAUCUCCUUGGAUGAAUGGAUCAGGUUAGAUGCAGUAGAUAUUGAUUAUGAGAAUGAAGUUGAUGGAGAGAUGUUGAAAAUCUUAGCAGCUCAUCAUGCUGAUCUUUUCAAUUUAGGUGGUUUACAGUGACUAGAAAUGGUCUAUGAGUUACAUUAUCAGGUAGUAACAGUCAUUUUUUACAGUCAUUUGUUCGAUAACAACUUCACAUUAGCUCUUAGGUUGCAGCUCAGAGAUCCUUUUCGUGACUUUGAAAUGGUUGGAUCAUCAAUGCUUGCUCUGGCUCAAGUUGAAAGAAUUUGUAUUCCUGUGCAUGCCGAAAUGCACAACACAAAAUAGAGAAACGGAUUUGAGCAACGAAAAGGAUGAUCUGAAUGAAGAGUUUGUUAUGGAAGGAACCAGUGCUGAAGAAAAUCAUAAGUGCAUCAAUGCACCAUUCAUCUGUCUGUUUAAAAUCUCUGGUGUCCAUGUCACAAGUUUUAAUGUUGAGCCAAAUGGUAGGGGCAUGUUAAUUGAUCCUAGACAGCUACAGUCUGGGUCUCGAUGGUUGCUUUCUAGUGGUAUGAAUAGGACAAGCAAGCAUCCUUUUCCCAUGUCCAAUCAAAAUCAUCCAUUUUCUGACACA